AGAGUUUGAUAAUGGCUCAAGAUUAACGCUGGCGGCGUGCCUAACACAUGCAAGUCGAGCGGCAGCGAGUUUUUACACUGAAUUCUGGAAGCUUCUAGUUGAAAGAGAAGAUUUAUUCAAGAAUUUUGUGUAAAAUGUCGGCGAGCGGCGGACGGCUGAGUAACGCGUGGGAACGUACCCCAAAGUGAGGGAUAACGCAUCGAAAGGUGUGCUAAUACCGCAUAUGGUCUUCGGAUUAAAGCCUUCGGGCGCUUUGGGAACGGCCUGCGUAAGAUUAGAUAGUUGGUGGGGUAAUGGCCUACCAAGUCGACGAUCUUUAACUGGUUUGAGAGGAUGAUUCAGUCAGACUGGAACUGAGACACGGUCCAGACUCCUACGGGAGGCAGCAGUGAGGAAUCUUCCACAAUGGGCGAAAGCCUGAUGGAGCAACGCCGCGUGCAGGAUGAAGGCCUUCGGGUUGUAAACUGCUUUUAUAAGUGAUGAUUAUGACAGUAACUUAUGAAUAAGGAUUCGGCUAACUACGUGCCAGCAGCCGCGGUCAUACGUAGGAUCCGAGCGUUAUCCGGAGUGACUGGGCGUAAAGAGUUGCGUAGGUGGUUUAAUAAGCGAAUAGUGAAAUCUGGUGGCUCAACCAUUCAGACUAUUAUUCGAACUGUUGAACUCGAGAGCAGAAGAGGUAGCUGGAAUUUCUAGUGUAGGAGUGAAAUCCGUAGAUAUUAGAAGGAACACCGAUGGCGUAGGCAGGCUACUGGGCUGUUUCUGACACUGAGGCACGAAAGCGUGGGGAGCGAGCCGGAUUAGAUACCCGGGUAGUCCACGCCGUAAACGAUGGAUACUAGCUGUUUGGGGUAUCGACCCCCUGAGUAGCGAAGCUAACGCGUUAAGUAUCCCGCCUGUGGAGUACGAUCGCAAGAUUAAAACAUAAAGGAAUUGACGGGGACCCGCACAAGCGGUGGAUCAUGUUCUUUAAUUCGAUGAUAACCGAUAAACCUUACCAGGUCUUGACAUCCUUGGAAUCUUUCAGAAAUGAGAGAGUGCUUUUUAAGAGCCAAGUGACAGGUGAUGCAUGGCCGUCGUCAGCUCGUGUCGUGAGAUGUUUGGUUAAGUCCAUCAACGAGCGCAACCCUUGUCAGUAGUUGUAUUUUUCUACUGAGACUGCCCCGGUAACGGGGAGGAAGGAGGGGAUGACGUCAGGUCAGUAUUUCCCUUACGUCCUGGGCUAGAAACGUGAUACAAUGGCUAGUACAAUGCGCAGCGAAGCCGCGAGGUGAAGCAAAUCGCAUCAAAGCUAGUCCCAGUUCGGAUUGUAGGCUGAAAACUCGCCUGCAUGAAGUCGGAAUCGCUAGUAAUCGCGGUUCAGCUUGCUGCGGUGUAUACGUUCCCGGG
This 1386-nucleotide ribosomal RNA is filed under the name uncultured bacterium. RNAcentral's name for it is "16S ribosomal RNA". It matches the Rfam family "Bacterial small subunit ribosomal RNA", at positions 8 to 1378 of the family's 1533-position model. The record is from RNAcentral.